GAGACUCCAUUUCAAAAAAACAAACAAAAACCAAAAUAAAAAGCAACAACAAAAAAUACAAAUUAAAUUGUGAAACAUAUAAUCGAAGCUGUGAGCACAUGUGUCCAAUGGAGCAUUCGAGCCGAAGCAGAACUAAUGCCGUUGGUACUGAACAGGGAUGAGCUCCACGGCUCUGAUAACUCCUCGAGAUGAAACCUAUCAGAUGCUCUGAAAACUGCUGUGAGAAAACCUGCAAAUGGAGAGAAAGGAAACAGCUCCCACCACUUACAGUCUAAAUGAGUCGUGAUUUUUUUUUCAUUCAUUAAAAACUGGGAUUUUUUUUUUUAAGGAAAUGCAUGCCAAAUACUUCUCUGUUAAUGGGCCUAAUUAAGGGACCUGGAUUUCGAUUAUUUAAUUUUUCAAAAUUCCACUAUAGGAAAAAUAAUAGAACCAAGAUUGUUCAAAUUGUUCUUGCAAUGGUUCCUGAAAUAUUUCCAUCUCAAGUCAUUCACUAAUACAGUAUAUCUAAAUGUCUUGUUUUUGGAGUAAGGGAUCGAAACUUGCUCUUUUAGGUACUACACCAAAUUACUAACCUGCCUUUUCGAGUAGCCCAAUAAUUAUUCUAACACGUAAUUUUGAACUUUAGGAAUUUCUCUUUUGGAACAGAAAUCUUUUUCAUCGCAGUGAAAGCAGGCAAGAGGAUGCGGGAAAUUAUCAGGGGGAAACAUAAGUUCUGGGUCUUAUCGGAUGUCACAGUUUUUGACCCGAGCAUCAGGAAAGCGAAGCCACACAACGCGGCUCCUCCUAGCCCCGGCGCGGCAGCCUGGAGGGGAUGUCUUUUUUGCAAAGCGAGUUCUCCAACUUUCCCGGGCCUUGGCGGAGCUCCGGGACCGCGCAGGGGUCCCUUUUAUAAGCAAAGGAGAAACAAACAGAUGCCCUCUGACAUCGCUGGAGCUCUGCAGGCCCUCCGAGGGGACCGUGGGAGCAAGAGCUGUUUUCUUGAAAAGCUACCUAGAAUAAAUGUUACCCUGUCACAGUCUCUUA
This 1023-nucleotide long non-coding RNA is filed under the name Homo sapiens (human). RNAcentral's name for it is "HSALNT0360159". The record is from RNAcentral. Lineage: Eukaryota; Metazoa; Chordata; Mammalia; Primates; Hominidae.